RNAcentral lists this ribosomal RNA (253 nucleotides) under uncultured bacterium. Its description in RNAcentral is "partial 16S ribosomal RNA". It matches the Rfam family "Bacterial small subunit ribosomal RNA", at positions 524 to 776 of the family's 1533-position model. The record is from RNAcentral.
UACAGAGGACGCAAGCGUUAUCCGGAAUGAUUGGGCGUAAAGCGCGCGCAGGCGGUUUUCCAAGUCAGUGGUGAAAGCCCGGAGCUCAACUCCGGAAAUGCCAUUGAAACUGCAAAACUUGAGUACGAGAGAGGUGAGUGGAAUUCCCAGUGUAGAGGUGAAAUUCGUAGAUAUUCGCAAGAACACCAGUGGCGAAGGCGGCUCACUGGCCCGGUACUGACGCUGAGAUGCGAAAGCGUGGGGAGCAAACAGG